Molecule: ribosomal RNA, 455 nt
Filed under: uncultured bacterium
Lineage: Bacteria
Description: bacterial SSU rRNA
Rfam family: Bacterial small subunit ribosomal RNA
Source: RNAcentral
UAGGAAGGCAGCAGUGGGGAAUAUUGCACAAUGGGCGAAAGCCUGAUGCAGCUAUGCCGCGUGUAUGAAGAAGGCCUUAGGGUUGUAAAGUACUUUCAUCGGGGAGGAAAAAACAAAACUAAUAAUUUUAUUUCUUGACGUUACCCGAAAAAGAAGCACCGGCUAACUCCGUGCCAGCAGCCGCGGUAAUACGGAGGGUGCUAGCGUUAAUCAGAAUUACUGGGCGUAAAGAGCACGUAGGUGGUUUUUUUAAGUCAGAUGUGAAAUCCCUGGGCUUAACCUAGGAACUGCAUUUUGAAACUGAAAUACUAGAGUAUCGUAGAGGGAGGUAGAAUUCUAGGUGUAGCGGUGAAAUGCGUAGAUAUCUGGAGGAAUACCUGUGGCGAAAGCGGCCUCCUAAACGAAUACUGACACUGAGGUGCGAAAGCGUGGGGAGCAAACAGGGAUUAGAUACC